Molecule: non-coding RNA, 684 nt
Organism: Paralichthys olivaceus (Japanese flounder)
Lineage: Eukaryota; Metazoa; Chordata; Actinopteri; Pleuronectiformes; Paralichthyidae
Source: RefSeq, a predicted model, not a curated record
ACAACCGAGAUGCUAACUGUUAGCUGUAGGUAGUAGUAAGUUAACCUGAGCUAAUGAGCUAAAGCUAAUAGCCGAAGUUGUUGUCAGUGUGUAUUGUGUUAUACCUGAAGUGUAGGUUGGGUUUUGUAGCUGAUUUCCGCUCAGUGAUUCAACUUAACUACACAGACGCCAUUUUUUAAUAUGGAGUCUUGCCUGUCGGCUGUCAGCCUCACCUGUGGGCACCAGAGGAAACAGUUUCUCAGAGCAGCAGCGGCGGCAGGAGCGGCAGGAGCGGCGGGAUGGGCCGCGCGGAGAAGAAGCGGCGUCGGCAGCAGAGUCCAGCCGGCGCGAGGAGCGCGAGACGAUCCCACGGAGGAGAGAAGGGCGUGUGAGGAAGAGGAGGAGGAGGAGAAGACAGGAGGAAGGAGGAGGAGGAAAUCCCGCGAGAAAAGAGGAGACGGACGGACGGACAGAUUCACGCAGAGAGAGAGAGAACCCGCCGCACGUGAGACCUCGGGGAGAAGGGACUAACCGUUAAUCUGGAGAAGAACGAAUAUUUUUCUAUUCUUUCUUUUUUUUUUCUCCACGCACACACGGAGAGAGGUCUCCGAGGAGAAAAGGUCCGGACUCAAGCCCACCUUCAUCAGCUGUUUGUUGCGCUUCCCCACGCGCACACGAGUGGUCCUGCGUGUACGUUGUUUACCC